RNAcentral lists this ribosomal RNA (812 nucleotides) under uncultured bacterium. RNAcentral describes it as "bacterial SSU rRNA". It matches the Rfam family "Bacterial small subunit ribosomal RNA", at positions 561 to 1372 of the family's 1533-position model. The record is from RNAcentral.
GUAAGCGCGCGCAGGCGGCUAUUUAAGUUGGAUGUGAAAGCCUACGGAACAACCGUAGAACUGCAUCCAAAACUAUUUAGCUAGAGUGUGGGAGAGGAAGAUGGAAUUAGUUGUGUAGGGGUAAAAUCCGUAGAGAUAACUAGGAAUACCAAAAGCGAAGGCAAUCUUCUGGAACACUACUGACGCUGAGGCGCGAAAGCGUGGGGAGCAAACAGGAUUAGAUACCCUGGUAGUCCACGCAGUAAACGAUGAAUGUUAGUCGUCGGGUAGCUAGUCUAUUCGGUGAUGCAGCUAACGCAUUAAACAUUCCGCCUGGGGAGUACGGUCGCAAGAUUAAAACUCAAAGGAAUAGACGGGGACCCGCACAAGUGGUGGAGCAUGUGGUUUAAUUCGAAGAUACGCGAAGAACCUUACCUAGCCUUGACAUAUAUUAGAACUCCGCAGAGAUGCAGAGGUGCCUUCGGGAGCUUUUAUACAGGUGCUGCACGGCUGUCGUCAGCUCGUGUCGUGAGAUGUUGGGUUAAGUCCCGCAACGAGCGCAACCCUCGUCCUUAGUUGCCAGCAGGUUAAGCUGGGCACUCUAAGGAGACUGCCUUCGUAAGGAGGAGGAAGGUGAGGACGACGUCAAGUCAUCAUGGCCCUUACGGCUAGGGCAACACACGUGCUACAAUGGUUGGGACAAUGAGACGCAAUACCGCGAGGUGGAGCAAAUCUAUAAACCCAAUCUCAGUUCGGAUUGUUCUCUGCAACUCGAGAACAUGAAGCUGGAAUCACUAGUAAUCGUAGAUCAGCUAUGCUACGGUGAAUACGUU